RNAcentral lists this transfer RNA (59 nucleotides) under Strongylocentrotus purpuratus (purple sea urchin). It matches the Rfam family "tRNA", at positions 8 to 63 of the family's 71-position model. Rfam says of the family: Transfer RNA (tRNA) molecules are approximately 80 nucleotides in length. Their secondary structure includes four short double-helical elements and three loops (D, anti-codon, and T loops). Lineage: Eukaryota; Metazoa; Echinodermata; Echinoidea; Camarodonta; Strongylocentrotidae. The record is from Rfam by way of RNAcentral.
UAGCUCAGUCGGUAUAGAGCAAUGGUCUCGUAAUCCAGUGACCUGGGUUCGAAACCAAG